Non-coding RNA from Neolamprologus brichardi, 286 nucleotides. The record is from RefSeq and is a predicted model, not a curated record. NCBI's taxonomy places the organism in Eukaryota, Metazoa, Chordata, Actinopteri, Cichliformes, Cichlidae.
AGUGGAGGAACUCAUUGAUCAACAGUACAGGAUCUGCAGUCUGGAGAUGUUGUUCAGAGUAGACAGAUGAAGAAACGCACCACAGAGAAACUUGAGAGUAAAGAGUGAUGGCUCUUCAGGAGAUCAGUGUGAUCUUCACACACAGACCCUCGGCCUUCUCUGCUGCUGUGCUGCUUCUAACACUCGUCCUCUGCAGAGGAUCAUUUGUAGUGGAUGUGACACAGAGCUCCUAUCAGGCAGAGGAGAACCACAACAUCACACUGGAGUGGACGUUCACCACCAAACC